Long non-coding RNA from Tachysurus vachellii, 1130 nucleotides. RefSeq lists it as uncharacterized. The transcript has 3 exons. Lineage: Eukaryota; Metazoa; Chordata; Actinopteri; Siluriformes; Bagridae. The record is from RefSeq and is a predicted model, not a curated record.
GGCAGUUGCACAAGGCGGGUUGUGACAUUUGGAGGAUCAUGGUUGCUAGAGACAAUGGAGCUCUGUGAUUACAAGACAUGGGGAGCGACCUUCCUUACACAGAGGGCUCUCUCUCUGUCUCUGUCUCUCUUUCUGUGAUUCUCUCACUCCCUGGAAUGCAGAGAUGGAGGUGGAGUAGGAGGAAAACUGGAGAUGUUUCUCUCAAGCUCUCAUACAAAGCUCUUCAAGUUUCCUCCCAAGAAAGACCUAUACAUCGCCUCCCUCAAAUGUCUACUAGCUAUGACAACAGGCUAAAGUUAAGCCCACACACACACACAAAAGCAAACACACUAGCUUCUAGUUAGAAGGAGCAGGGUGAGUCUUGAGGGCGCCGUGUUGCAUAAACGUGUCUCUCUGUUGAAACACCUGUGCAAUAAGGCAGGUGAGUAGAGAAGUAAGCAAUAGAGUCAACAAACCCCUCAUUAUGAUACCAUCACUCCAAAAAGAGGAGCUCAGGCUCAAUAGGAAAUUUGCCUGCCUGUCAUUUAACAUUUAAAGACAGCAAACAAUACACAGGCAAAGCAAAGCAUUAAUGACUGGGCCUGAGGCUUUUAACCACCUAUUCAUCUAUUCUGCUGGUUUUAAACAAUAGGUGAAUAUAGUCUUUUUCCUCCCCAUAUAAACAAAAAAGUACUUUGUAGCUAGGCACCUCCUCACCUUCUUUCAUUCUCAUCUACUGAUCAUCAAACAAUCUAAGCCCACUUUCUCUGACAUUUCAGGCAUUAAAACCCAGUACUUUUCCUCCUGCAGUUCCAUAUUUGCCCUGAAGUGGACUGUAUGUGAAGCUGCACCAUAUCUUCAAUCUGUUCACUAAUGAAUUCUGGGGUAAAUGUCGCUUGCUACCUUAAUCAUUAAUAGCCAGUAAAGUUUGUUUUGUUUACUUUUUUGCCCAUAUUCUGACUGUAUCUGGCAAAUCAGUGUCCCUGAGGAAUGGAACCAAACAUAAAUCCUAAUAUGGAAUAUGAGACGACGUUAUUUAUGUACUAUGGCUUAUUCAUCCUUCUGUGAGAGUGAGGUUCUCUUAUUCUUUUGGAGAGUACCCAGCAUUGACAAGGAUAUUUAUUUGUUGUUGUUGUUUUUUCAAGUUUAGG